UACGUAGGGGGCUAGCGUUGUCCGGAAUCAUUGGGCGUAAAGAGCGUGUAGGCGGCCCGGUAAGUCCGCUGUAAAAGCCAAAGGCUCAACCUUUGAAUGUCAGUGGAUACUGUCGGGCUAGAGUCCGGAAGAGGCGAGUGGAACUCCUGGUGUAGCGGUGGAAUGCGCAGAUAUCAGGAAGAACACCAACGGCGAAGGUAGCUCGCUAGGACGGUACUGACGCUGAGACGCGAAAGCGUGGGGAGCGAACAGG
Molecule: ribosomal RNA, 253 nt
Filed under: uncultured bacterium
Lineage: Bacteria
Description: partial 16S ribosomal RNA
Rfam family: Bacterial small subunit ribosomal RNA
Source: RNAcentral